Molecule: ribosomal RNA, 481 nt
Filed under: uncultured bacterium
Lineage: Bacteria
Description: bacterial SSU rRNA
Rfam family: Bacterial small subunit ribosomal RNA
Source: RNAcentral
UUGAACGCUGCGGCAUGCCUUACACAUGCAAGUCGAACGGCAGCGGGACGUUCGGUCCGCCGGCGAGUGGCGAACGGGUGAGUAAUGUAUCGGAACGUACCUUUCAGUGGGGGAUAACGUAGCGAAAGUUACGCUAAUACCGCAUAUUCUGUGCGCAGGAAAGCAGGGGAUCGCAAGACCUUGCGCUGAUUGAGCGGCCGAUAUCAGAUUAGCUAGUUGGUGGGGUAAAGGCCUACCAAGGCGACGAUCUGUAGCGGGUCUGAGAGGAUGAUCCGCCACACUGGAACUGAGACACGGUCCAGACUCCUACGGGAGGCAGCAGUGGGAAUUUUGGACAAUGGGGGCAACCCUGAUCCAGCCAUGCCGCGUGAGUGAAGAAGGCCUUCGGGUUGUAAAGCUCUUUCGGCCGGGAAGAAAUCGUAUGGGUUAAUACCCUGUGCGGAUGACGGUACCGGCAUAAGAAGCACCGGCUAACUACGUG